CAGCCGCCACGGGAAUACGUAGGUGGCAAGCGUUGUCCGGAAUUAUUGGGCGUAAAGGGCUCGCAGGUGGUUUCUUAAGUCUGAUGUGAAAGCCCCCGGCUCAACCGGGGAGGGUCAUUGGAAACUGGGAAACUUGAGUGCAGAAGAGGAGAGUGGAAUUCCACGUGUAGCGGUGAAAUGCGUAGAGAUGUGGAGGAACACCAGUGGCGAAGGCGACUCUCUGGUCUGUAACUGACGCUGAGGAGCGAAAGCGUGGGGAGCGAACAGGAUUAGAUACCCCCGUAGUCCCUGUCUCUUAUAC
This 301-nucleotide ribosomal RNA is filed under the name uncultured bacterium. Its description in RNAcentral is "partial 16S ribosomal RNA". It matches the Rfam family "Bacterial small subunit ribosomal RNA", at positions 509 to 807 of the family's 1533-position model. The record is from RNAcentral.